This 483-nucleotide ribosomal RNA is filed under the name uncultured bacterium. Its description in RNAcentral is "partial 16S ribosomal RNA". It matches the Rfam family "Bacterial small subunit ribosomal RNA", at positions 28 to 507 of the family's 1533-position model. The record is from RNAcentral.
GACGAACGCUGGCGGCGUGCUUAACACAUGCAAGUCGAACGCUGAAGCUCAGCUUUUGUUGGGUGGAUGAGUGGCGAACGGGUGAGUAACACGUGAGUAACCUGCCUCCUUCUUUGGGAUAACGCCCGGAAACGGGUGCUAAUACUGGAUAUUCACUGGUCUUCGCAUGGGGGUUGGUGGAAAGGGUUUUUCUGGUGGGGGAUGGGCUCGCGGCCUAUCAGCUUGUUGGUGGGGUGAUGGCCUACCAAGGCUUUGACGGGUAGCCGGCCUGAGAGGGUGACCGGUCACAUUGGGACUGAGAUACGGCCCAGACUCCUACGGGAGGCAGCAGUGGGGAAUAUUGCACAAUGGGCGCAAGCCUGAUGCAGCGACGCCGCGUGAGGGAUGGAGGCCUUCGGGUUGUGAACCUCUUUCGCUCAUGGUCAAGCCGCAACAAUGGUUGUGGUGAGGGUGGUGGGUAAAGAAGCGCCGGCUAACUACGUG